AACGUCCUUAUUGAGGGUAGCAAUGACGCGGUCAAUGAGCGUAUGGCGAGGUCCGUCGUGCUAACACCUUUACUUACAACAUUUACACCCCUCACUAACACUGGGUGGGUAAUUUUUGGCAAC
RNAcentral lists this non-coding RNA (123 nucleotides) under Clytia hemisphaerica. RNAcentral's name for it is "U4atac minor spliceosomal RNA". It matches the Rfam family "U4atac minor spliceosomal RNA". From Rfam's summary of the family: U4atac is an essential component of the minor U12-type spliceosome complex which is required for removal of the rarer class of eukaryotic introns (AT-AC, U12-type). These interacting stem loops have been shown to be required for in vivo splicing. The record is from Rfam by way of RNAcentral. Lineage: Eukaryota; Metazoa; Cnidaria; Hydrozoa; Leptothecata; Clytiidae.